GAAACGUGGGUCUAAUACCGGAUAGGAACCAUCUUUAGUGUGGUGGUUGGAAAGUUUUUUCGGUGUAGGAUGAGCUCGCGGCCUAUCAGCUUGUUGGUGGGGUAAUGGCCUACCAAGGCGGCGACGGGUAGCCGGCCUGAGAGGGUGUACGGCCACAUUGGGACUGAGAUACGGCCCAG
This 179-nucleotide ribosomal RNA is filed under the name uncultured Actinomycetales bacterium. RNAcentral describes it as "partial 16S ribosomal RNA". It matches the Rfam family "Bacterial small subunit ribosomal RNA", at positions 153 to 334 of the family's 1533-position model. The record is from RNAcentral. Lineage: Bacteria; Bacillati; Actinomycetota; Actinomycetes; Actinomycetales.